ACCGAGGCUAGAGUCACAUCUGGUCAUGCUGCUGUUGUCCUGGUGUGCUAGAGCUCUCGCAGAGGAACACGUCUUUGCUUAUUCAUUGGCUGUAGUCUUUUUGUGGCCCAGUCAAUCACCAGCUCAGACACAAUU
Molecule: small nucleolar RNA, 135 nt
Filed under: Neogobius melanostomus (round goby)
Lineage: Eukaryota; Metazoa; Chordata; Actinopteri; Gobiiformes; Gobiidae
Description: Small nucleolar RNA SNORA3/SNORA45 family (ENSNMLG00000027127.1)
Rfam family: Small nucleolar RNA SNORA3/SNORA45 family
About the family: The members of this family belong to the H/ACA class of snoRNAs which are thought to guide the sites of modification of uridines to pseudouridines. This family includes mouse snoMBI-28 and human homologues ACA3 (SNORA3) and ACA3-2 (SNORA45).
Source: Rfam by way of RNAcentral